This 207-nucleotide long non-coding RNA is filed under the name Elaeis guineensis (African oil palm). RNAcentral describes it as "long non-coding RNA (EGUI_LNC052135)". Lineage: Eukaryota; Viridiplantae; Streptophyta; Magnoliopsida; Arecales; Arecaceae. The record is from RNAcentral.
UUCUGAAGGCAUGUCUCUUUUUUUUUCUUUAGCCUCUCCAGGUAUACAGGAUAGUUCCUUUGAUGACUGUUAACAUCAUAGAGAUAGCCACCUUCUUAGGAGCUUCCUUCUUUGGCUGGCUCUUGAACUUAUAUUUCUUCAUGGACUUCUUCUUCUUCUUCUAAGUAGACUUUCUCUUGAAAGUAGAAGUCCACUCCACAAUGAGCA